Molecule: ribosomal RNA, 433 nt
Filed under: uncultured bacterium
Lineage: Bacteria
Description: partial 16S ribosomal RNA
Rfam family: Bacterial small subunit ribosomal RNA
Source: RNAcentral
AACGAACGCUGGCGGCAUGCCUAACACAUGCAAGUCGAACGAGACCUUCGGGUCUAGUGGCGCACGGGUGCGUAACGCGUGGGAGCCUGCCCUUAGGUUCGGAAUAACUCCCCGAAAGGGGUGCUAAUACCGGAUAAUGUCUUCGGACCAAAGAUUUAUCGCCUUUGGAUGGGCCCGCGUUGGAUUAGCUAGUUGGUAGGGUAAAAGCCUACCAAGGCGACGAUCCAUAGCUGGUCUGAGAGGAUGAUCAGCCACACUGGGACUGAGACACGGCCCAGACUCCUACGGGAGGCAGCAGUGGGGAAUAUUGGACAAUGGGCGAAAGCCUGAUCCAGCGAUGCCGCGUGAGUGAUGAAGGCCUUAGGGUUGUAAAGCUCUUUUACCCGGGAUGAUAAUGACAGUACCGGGAGAAUAAGCUCCGGCUAACUCCGUG